UGGGGAAUAUUGCACAAUGGGCGCAAGCCUGAUGCAGCCAUGCCGCGUGUGUGAAGAAGGCCUUCGGGUUGUAAAGCACUUUCAGCGAGGAGGAAGGUGGUGAGCUUAAUACGCUCAUCAAUUGACGUUACUCGCAGAAGAAGCACCGGCUAACUCCGUGCCAGCAGCCGCGGUAAUACGGAGGGUGCAAGCGUUAAUCGGAAUUACUGGGCGUAAAGCGCACGCAGGCGGUUUGUUAAGUCAGAUGUGAAAUCCCCGGGCUCAACCUGGGAACUGCAUUUGAAACUGGCAAGCUAGAGUCUCGUAGAGGGGGGUAGAAUUCCAGGUGUAGCGGUGAAAUGCGUAGAGAUCUGGAGGAAUACCGGUGGCGAAGGCGGCCCCCUGGACGAAGACUGACGCUCAGGUGCGAAAGCGUGGGGCAGCAAACAGGAUUAGAUACCCUGGUAGUCCACGCUGUAAACGAUGUCGAUUUUGGAGGUUGUGCCCUUGAGGCGUGGCUUCCGGAGCUAACGNGUUAAUCGACCGCCUGGGGAGUACGGCCGCAAGGUUAAAACUCAAAGG
This 561-nucleotide ribosomal RNA is filed under the name uncultured bacterium. RNAcentral's name for it is "partial 16S ribosomal RNA". It matches the Rfam family "Bacterial small subunit ribosomal RNA", at positions 355 to 907 of the family's 1533-position model. The record is from RNAcentral.